RNAcentral lists this unclassified non-coding RNA (258 nucleotides) under Rhizophagus prolifer. Its description in RNAcentral is "partial contains 5.8S ribosomal RNA and internal transcribed spacer 2". The stretch from base 1 to 71 matches the Rfam family "5.8S ribosomal RNA", at positions 84 to 154 of the family's 154-position model. Lineage: Eukaryota; Fungi; Glomeromycota; Glomeromycetes; Glomerales; Glomeraceae. The record is from RNAcentral.
GUGAAUCAUCAAAUUUUUGAACGCAAAUUGCACUCUCUGGUAUUCCGGAGAGUAUGCCUGUUUGAGGGUCAGUAUAAAUAAAAAUCGGCGUGUUGCGCUUUUGUGACGUUCCGGAGUUUUGGUCAUCUUAUAACAACACCCUUUCAGGGUAUUUUUAAGAAGCUUAAAAUUGACUUUUUUGGUGCAUUUAAGUCUUACAUUAAUUUUUUUUUAUUCGUUUAUCUUAAUUCCAAAUCUCUAUUAGAUUCGACCAUAUCG